Molecule: ribosomal RNA, 2185 nt
Filed under: Vibrio cyclitrophicus ZF255
Lineage: Bacteria; Pseudomonadati; Pseudomonadota; Gammaproteobacteria; Vibrionales; Vibrionaceae
Description: bacterial LSU rRNA
Rfam family: Bacterial large subunit ribosomal RNA
Source: RNAcentral
UUAAGUGACUAAGCGUACACGGUGGAUGCCUUGGCAGUCAGAGGCGAUGAAAGGCGUAAUAACUUGCGAUAAGCCCAGAUUAGGUAGUAAUAACCUUUUGAGUCUGGGAUUCCUGAAUGGGGAAACCCACGUGCAUAAGCACGUAUCCUGUUGUGAAUACAUAGCAACAGGAGGCAAACCGGGGGAACUGAAACAUCUAAGUACCCCGAGGAAGAGAAAUCAACCGAGAUUCCGAAAGUAGCGGCGAGCGAAAUUGGAUUAGCCCUUAAGCUUUUAAUGAUGCAGGUGAAGAGUCUGGAAAGUCUCGCAACAAAGGGUGAUAGCCCCGUAACCGACACAUCAUAAUCAGUGAAAACGAGUAGGGCGGGACACGUGAUAUCCUGUCUGAAUAUGGGGGGACCAUCCUCCAAGGCUAAAUACUACUGACUGACCGAUAGUGAACCAGUACCGUGAGGGAAAGGCGAAAAGAACCCCUGUGAGGGGAGUGAAAUAGAACCUGAAACCGUGUACGUACAAGCAGUAGGAGCACCUUCGUGGUGUGACUGCGUACCUUUUGUAUAAUGGGUCAGCGACUUAAUUUUAGUAGCAAGGUUAACCGUUUAGGGGAGCCGUAGGGAAACCGAGUCUUAACUGGGCGUACAGUUGCUAGGAUUAGACCCGAAACCAGGUGAUCUAGCCAUGGGCAGGUUGAAGGUUGAGUAACAUCAACUGGAGGACCGAACCGACUAAUGUUGAAAAAUUAGCGGAUGACUUGUGGCUAGGGGUGAAAGGCCAAUCAAACCUGGAGAUAGCUGGUUCUCCCCGAAAGCUAUUUAGGUAGCGCCUCGGACGAAUACUACUGGGGGUAGAGCACUGUUAAGGCUAGGGGGUCAUCCCGACUUACCAACCCUUUGCAAACUCCGAAUACCAGUAAGUACUAUCCGGGAGACACACGGCGGGUGCUAACGUCCGUCGUGGAGAGGGAAACAACCCAGACCGCCAGCUAAGGUCCCAAAGUAUAGCUAAGUGGGAAACGAUGUGGGAAGGCUCAGACAGCCAGGAUGUUGGCUUAGAAGCAGCCAUCAUUUAAAGAAAGCGUAAUAGCUCACUGGUCGAGUCGGCCUGCGCGGAAGAUGUAACGGGGCUAAGCUAUACACCGAAGCUGCGGCUACGUACCUUAGGGUAUGUGGGGUAGGGGAGCGUUCUGUAAGCCGUUGAAGGUGGUCUGUAAGGGCUGCUGGAGGUAUCAGAAGUGCGAAUGCUGACAUGAGUAACGAUAAAGGGAGUGAAAAACUCCCUCGCCGGAAGACCAAGGGUUCCUGUCCAACGUUAAUCGGGGCAGGGUAAGUCGACUCCUAAGGCGAGGCCGAAAGGCGUAGUCGAUGGGAAACGGGUUAAUAUUCCCGUACUUCUUACAAUUGCGAUGGGGGGACGGAGAAGGCUAGGUGGGCCUGGCGACGGUUGUCCAGGUUCAAGUAUGUAGGCGGGUGGUUUAGGUAAAUCCGGACCGCUACUAACGCUGAGAUACGAUGUCGAGCUACUACGGUAGUGAAGUCAUUGAUGCCAUGCUUCCAGGAAAAGCCUCUAAGCUUCAGAUUGUAAGGAAUCGUACCCCAAACCGACACAGGUGGUCGGGUAGAGAAUACCAAGGCGCUUGAGAGAACUCGGGUGAAGGAACUAGGCAAAAUGGUACCGUAACUUCGGGAGAAGGUACGCUCUUAUCAGUGAAGUCCCUUGCGGAUGGAGCAGACGAGAGUCGCAGAUACCAGGUGGCUGCAACUGUUUAUUAAAAACACAGCACUGUGCAAAAUCGUAAGAUGACGUAUACGGUGUGACGCCUGCCCGGUGCCGGAAGGUUAAUUGAUGGGGUUAGACUUCGGUCGAAGCUCUUGAUCGAAGCCCCGGUAAACGGCGGCCGUAACUAUAACGGUCCUAAGGUAGCGAAAUUCCUUGUCGGGUAAGUUCCGACCUGCACGAAUGGCGUAAUGAUGGCCACGCUGUCUCCACCCGAGACUCAGUGAAAUUGAAAUCGCUGUGAAGAUGCAGUGUACCCGCGGCUAGACGGAAAGACCCCGUGAACCUUUACUACAGCUUGGCACUGAACAUUGAACCUACAUGUGUAGGAUAGGUGGGAGACUUUGAAACCGCGUCGCUAGAUGUGGUGGAGUCGUCCUUGAAAUACCACCCUUGUAGUUUUGAUGUUCUA